Molecule: long non-coding RNA, 2904 nt
Organism: Neofelis nebulosa (Clouded leopard)
Lineage: Eukaryota; Metazoa; Chordata; Mammalia; Carnivora; Felidae
Exons: 4
Source: RefSeq, a predicted model, not a curated record
UUGAAGGUCGAUCAUCUUCUUUAUGAGACGCCUUCCAUAUCAGCUUAAUAGAAGCAACUUCACUAAUAAAUGACAAUGGUCAGCUUAUUUACAACAUUUCUACUGGAUUUUUUUUCCUCAAGAUUCUCUUCAGAGGAAUAGGAGGAGAGGUUAUAUUCUCUGCAUGAGGACAAGUCUACAGUGUCAAAAUCAAGUAAUAUUUGUCUUCUGACAGCAGAACGUUGUAUCAUAUUUCUAAGGAUGCUUCUGCACAUCCUUGAGGGACAAAAAUGUGACUUCCUGACUUCUCCAAGGGAGGAAAGAGGGAAAUAAUGGCCAAUGAGGUAAUGGGAAUUCUCACCUUUACUAGUUCCAGAAGCAUGACAGAGGCUUUAUGAAAACCGAGAAAGCCACUGUCCACGCAGAAUGGAAAUAACGUUGUAAUCCCACUUGGAUCAGUCUUAGUGAGGACCACUAAUUGCAAAACAACUUUCCCCACCAUGGUUGAGGGAGGGCCCAUGGGAAGAGGGCAUCUGACUUAAACAGGAAGAGGAGGGUCCUCCCUCAGGAUAUUAUGCCUGCAUCGCCAUGCCUUCCCACGUGGUAAAGCCGUGAGAGAGGGGUUGAUAGUGGUCCACACCAUGUCUUCCAUAGUGCGCAAGAAAGUCUGCAGUAAGAGCCAAUAAAGUGACACCACAGGGAGAGGAAAGAAAAGGGCCAGUGAAGGGGGAAACCUGCUAGUUUCGUGGGAGGUUCCAGCUGUCUCUAAGACCCUGACUCUCCUGAGGGUAGCUAAAUUUUGGAUUAUUAUAAAUUGCAUUUUAAAGAGCAGAUGAAGAGCCCUGGGGAAUAAGGAUGGGUGCAGUGUUCUCCCUCUUUCUUUUAAGAUUCUUGCAUUCCAGGGUGCAAAGUUGAGUCAGAGUCAGGUUUGCUCAGGGGCCAGAACUUGAAUCUCUAUGGCCGGCAGAGAUGUAAGUGGAAUGGAACAGUUCUGGGGAUUAAUCUUUUUGCAGAUUGGAUGGGCCCACAGAACUGGAAGUGAGACCUGAGGUGUACUUGCUGUAAAGUUGAACAUGUCUUUUCUUGAAAAGUAAGGGUAAAAAUGGGGGGAAGUCAUGAAAGGAGGAAGUAUUUUGAGAAAAUUUUAAAUGCCCCCUAUUAUUUUGUAGUUGUGGGACUUGGGUUUAAUUUGAAUCUGUAAACUCUCAGAGGGCAUCUGUAGGCAUUUAGAAAAGGGUGGUUAAUUUGCAGCAGAUACUAGCUUUUGUGCAAAGGCAGAAAGAUGUACUGUAACAUAUGAUGCAGAUCACUUUAGAGUAAUUGAACCAUGGCUUUUGCAUGCUUUCGAUCCGAAGCUUAUCUCCAUCUGAAGCCUGUAGAAAGUCUUUUCCCAUUUACAUAACAGGGCAAGAGAUUAUUACAACUAAAAUUAGAUCCAUGAAUUGCUAUGCACAGUGCUUUGUAGCAUAAUCAAAUUAUGAUAAAAUAGCCUUUAUUUCUCUAUUGCUAUAUAAUAUAGUUAGGUUCUUUAGUAAUUUGUUUGGAAGUAAAGGAGUGGCUGUGCGAUCUUAUUACACUAAAGUAUCGCUGAUUUUUGGCCAAAUUGACAACCUUGCUUGAUUGUUUUUUAGAGAUGUUUAUUUGAAGAAUGGGAAGGAUCCUGAUAAGGUCUAAUUUGUUUUCCUUUCUUUACCCCUGCCCUUGCCUUUAAAAAAAAAUAUGGGCCACAGCUCAUGAGUUCUUCCUGCUUACCCUUAUCACUUAACCUGAUAAUACCAUCCCGAGAAAGUGGUUCCUGUUCAUUUGAUAUUACCAGAUAAAGUCAAAAGCCUUAUGCCUUCCCAGCACUGAAGAUUCCUUAGCUGUUUUCUCUCAGAUUCUGAACAGGGCAAAUCACAAGAACCUUGUUGGUUAAAUUAUUAUUGUUUAGAUGUAAAUAUGGGAGGGGAGGGAAAACAACCAAAUUGUUGAGAAAAUAAAUGAGGAAGUAGGGGAGAGGGGAAGGUGGAAAUUAAGACUGAGUAACAGCAAAAAAUGAUCAGAAAGAAGAGAAGAGGAAAUAGAUCACAAGGAUAUGGGUAUGAGGGAAAAGGAGGAUAGAGAGACAGCAAAACAUAAUCCAAUGGAAGCCUGUAACAUGGUGUACGAGCAGAUUUCCAUACCAUUUUGAGGCUCUGAAAGUUUCCUGAUGACUCUAUUCAGCAGAACCCCCACUCCCGCCCCAUUCUAUAUUACUGUUAAUGCUAAAGGUAGCAGUAGCUGCAGAGGUGGCAUUUUCCUCUAAUUUAAUUUUCAGUUACUGAACUCAGUUACUGACUCUUUACAGCCUGAGGGAAGACGAGCCUUUGUUAAAGCAGUGGCCGUUCACUUUCACUUUUCUUUUCAACCUCAUUAGAUUUCCUGAGGUUUAGUUCUAGACCUAAAGCACUGCACUGUGGCAAAACUAUGUAAAAUAACGUUUUUGGUGAAAAGGAACACCUGCAAAAAUGUCACACAAAUUUCAAGUUCAGUGGUAUCUAGUGAUGUCACCGAGUGAAAUCCUUGUGCAGAAAAUGCAAGUAAUAGGGUAUUAAAUUUGUUAUAGCCUGUGACUUCCUUCAUGGCAUCGUGUGGUGCAAUGAUGAGCCAGAAAGGCUUCUUGUCUGGUGGCACCUUUGUAUGUGUGCUCAGUGGGUAGCACAGCCACAUGGGCAUUAGCCCCAUUGAGGUAGGAUUUGAAAGGGAGUUGCUAAUCUCAGUCCACAUUGGGUGUCAGAAUUCUGAUUUAACCCAUGUAGGAUGAGCCAUUCCCCGUGUACAGGGAGAGUCAUUACAAAAAUGGCACUUUUGAUUCCUUGAAAAUGACUAAAUCCUAGAAUGAGAAUGUAUGAUUGAUUGUGAACAAUAAUGUAAAUUAUCUAUAAAGGUUAUAUAAUGAUUCUGUGA